Molecule: non-coding RNA, 112 nt
Organism: Acanthosepion pharaonis
Lineage: Eukaryota; Metazoa; Mollusca; Cephalopoda; Sepiida; Sepiidae
Source: the annotation of a GenBank genome assembly
UCCGACCAUAUCAUGUUGAAACACCAAUUCCGCUACGUUCACCGAUGUUAAGCAAAGUCGAAUCUGGUCAGUACUUAGAUGGGUGACCGCUUGAGAAUAUCAGGUACUGUAA